Molecule: ribosomal RNA, 266 nt
Filed under: uncultured bacterium
Lineage: Bacteria
Description: partial 16S ribosomal RNA
Rfam family: Bacterial small subunit ribosomal RNA
Source: RNAcentral
GUCCACGCCGUAAACGAUGAACACUAGGUGUCGUGGGUAUUGACCCCCGCGGUGCCGUAGCUAACGCAUUAAGUGUUCCGCCUGGGAAGUACGGUCGCAAGACUAAAACUCAAAGGAAUUGACGGGGCCCGCACAAGCGGUGGAGCAUGUGGUUUAAUUCGACGCAACGCGCAGAACCUUACCUGGGCUGGAAAGUCAUUGGAAGUCGGACGAAAGUUUGAUGUGCCCGCAAGGGAGCCAGUGGACAGGUGCUGCAUGGCUGUCGU